Molecule: transfer RNA, 74 nt
Filed under: bacterium
Lineage: Bacteria
Description: tRNA-Arg
Rfam family: tRNA
About the family: Transfer RNA (tRNA) molecules are approximately 80 nucleotides in length. Their secondary structure includes four short double-helical elements and three loops (D, anti-codon, and T loops).
Source: RNAcentral
GCGCCCGUAGCUCAAUUGGAUAGAGCGUCUGACUACGGAUCAGAAGGUUGUGGGUUCGAUUCCCUCCGGGCGUA